This 390-nucleotide ribosomal RNA is filed under the name Streptococcus pneumoniae. Its description in RNAcentral is "bacterial SSU rRNA". It matches the Rfam family "Bacterial small subunit ribosomal RNA", at positions 1151 to 1533 of the family's 1533-position model. The record is from RNAcentral. Lineage: Bacteria; Bacillati; Bacillota; Bacilli; Lactobacillales; Streptococcaceae.
GCCGGUAAUAAACCGGAGGAAGGUGGGGAUGACGUCAAAUCAUCAUGCCCCUUAUGACCUGGGCUACACACGUGCUACAAUGGCUGGUACAACGAGUCGCAAGCCGGUGACGGCAAGCUAAUCUCUUAAAGCCAGUCUCAGUUCGGAUUGUAGGCUGCAACUCGCCUACAUGAAGUCGGAAUCGCUAGUAAUCGCGGAUCAGCACGCCGCGGUGAAUACGUUCCCGGGCCUUGUACACACCGCCCGUCACACCACGAGAGUUUGUAACACCCGAAGUCGGUGAGGUAACCGUAAGGAGCCAGCCGCCUAAGGUGGGAUAGAUGAUUGGGGUGAAGUCGUAACAAGGUAGCCGUAUCGGAAGGUGCGGCUGGAUCACCUCCUUUCUAAGGA